GGUGAGGUGGCCGAGAGGUUGAAGGCAGCAUCCUGCUAAGAUGUUGAGCUCGUAAGGGCUCCGUGGGUUCGAAUCCCACCCUCACCG
This 87-nucleotide transfer RNA is filed under the name bacterium. Its description in RNAcentral is "tRNA-Ser". It matches the Rfam family "tRNA". From Rfam's summary of the family: Transfer RNA (tRNA) molecules are approximately 80 nucleotides in length. The record is from RNAcentral.